AGAUGAAAAAAUGUGCACGAGAGGAUCUUCCUUCACCACAAACAGCUCCAACAGGCUGCCUGGCUCUCUUUAUAUAUAAGGAUCGAAUCGGCAUGUCUAAUCCAAAAUGGUGUAGUUUAUGUUGGCUCUGGUUUAGGCUCGUUUGAGUCUGAUGUGAUGGAACACUCCUUCUUUAUAACGUCUGCUAGUUUAGGCUCCACCUUGGUCAGUGUGGAAAUGAAGCAGAGCACCUGCGCAUAGAGAAAGAAAAAACUCUGAGGGAGGGAGGGAAGGAUGGGAUGGAUGGAAGACAGUAUGUGUAUUAAAUAACUCAUGGAUGGAUGGAUGGAUGAGUGGGAGGGUGGAUGAGUGGGUGGAUGGAUGGAUGGGAGGGUGGAUGGAUGGAUGAGUGGGUGGAUGGAUGGAUGGAUGGGUGGAUGGAUGGAUGGAUGGGUGGAUGGAUGGGUGGAUGGAUGGAUGGAUGAAUGGGUGGAUGAAAGGAUGAGUGGGAGGGUGGAUGGGUGGAUGGGAGGGCAGAUGGAUGGAUGGGUGGAUGAAAG
Molecule: long non-coding RNA, 539 nt
Organism: Ictalurus punctatus (channel catfish)
Lineage: Eukaryota; Metazoa; Chordata; Actinopteri; Siluriformes; Ictaluridae
Source: Ensembl